AAGUCGUAACAAGGUUUCCGUAGGUGAACCUGCGGAAGGAUCAUUAUUGAAUACUGAAUCGGUUCUGAUGCUGGCCCUUCACUGGGCAUGUGCUCGUCCGUUCAUAUUUACCUUCUCUUGUGCACAUUUUGUAGUCCUUUUGGAACGAGUGAAUUUCGCGCCGCUGCGAUUAACUUCGCGGUGGUUGCGGUUUGGGGGAUUGGGUGUAACAGCCCUUCCUCUGUUUAUGCGCGUUGCUGCGAUUUACUUCGUGGUGACUGCGGUUUGGGGGUUGAGCGUCAGCACUUCCCCUGCCUUUGCUUUUUUCCAAGGCUAUGUUUUCAUAUACCCUAUACAAUGUUACAGAAUGUCUUUAACGAUUGUGCUUGGUCGCAGUCAUUAAACCUAUACAACUUUCAGCAACGGAUCUCUUGGCUCUC
Molecule: unclassified non-coding RNA, 419 nt
Filed under: air metagenome
Description: partial contains small subunit ribosomal RNA, internal transcribed spacer 1, and 5.8S ribosomal RNA
Rfam family: Eukaryotic small subunit ribosomal RNA (bases 1-46)
Source: RNAcentral